UUCUUAUAGGAAGAAUUAUAAGUAACACCUGCUCAAUGAAAAUAAAUAGCUGCGGGAGACUGUACUAAGGUAGCAUAAUCAUUAGUUUAUUAAUUGUAAACUGGAAUGAAGGGUGAAAUGAAUAAGGAUAGGUAUUUUUUCAAUAAGUUGAAAUUAAAUUUUUAGUAAAAAUGCUAAAAUUAUUUUUAGGGACGAGAAGACCCUAUAAAGCUUAAAGAUUUUCUUUUAUUUGAUAAAAUGAAAAUUUUUUUGUUGGGGAAAUAGAGUAAGAUAAAAUUUUACUUUUAGAUCCAAAAGUUUUGAUAAUAAGAAGAAGUUACUUUAGGGAUAACAGCAUAAUAAGAGAAAUAGAGCACAAAUCUGUUUUUUUGAUUAUGACCUCGAUGUUGGAUUAAUAGASUCCUUUAGGAGAAGCCACUUAAGGGGAUAGUCUGUUCGACUAUUAAAA
RNAcentral lists this ribosomal RNA (448 nucleotides) under Neogovea branstetteri. RNAcentral describes it as "partial 16S ribosomal RNA". It matches the Rfam family "Bacterial large subunit ribosomal RNA", at positions 1831 to 2593 of the family's 2925-position model. Lineage: Eukaryota; Metazoa; Arthropoda; Arachnida; Opiliones; Neogoveidae. The record is from RNAcentral.